RNAcentral lists this long non-coding RNA (404 nucleotides) under Anas platyrhynchos (mallard). RNAcentral describes it as "lncRNA (ENSAPLG00020007426.1)". The record is from RNAcentral. Lineage: Eukaryota; Metazoa; Chordata; Aves; Anseriformes; Anatidae.
AUGCUUCCAGAUAAGGACAUGCCACACUUACAGUUGCCUACCACCAUUAACACAUCCUCUUCUGCGUGGUCACGUGAAGACGGCGCUGGCUUGUCAGCACUUCUUGCCUCCUUCCUUUUCCCAUCGGCUUCAGAGGGCUCGUGUGGAGCUGCUACGCGUUGGUUCCGCAGCAGCAUUUUGAUUACCUCUCCUACACCGCCACUGUCGGCACGGACCGAGCCAUCCAGCAGUCCAGUGAGUGUAUUGCUCCUGACAAGCUGUAUUUGCCCUGGAUAAGUCAGGUAGCAUAUCUCCAGUUGCAGGUAAUAGGCAGGAACAUCCUCUCUGCAUCGUCUUUGAAGAUUUUCCUGUCUCUGUUUCACCCAAAGGGCCUCAAAAAGCACAAAUUAUCAUCUCAGGCUGCA